GUGAUACAGACACAUUCAACAGCUGAACAAAAACCCCAGAGCACCGUUGGCUCUAUUAGUGAGUCUAUCUGCUGUACUGUAGGGGGACCUCAAGGACCACAAAUACUCAGUUACACUUUGAUUCACCACGUGGGUUUUGAUAGAGCUGCUAACAGCAUCAGACAAGGUCACACUCGGCAGAGACACUCCCACCUGCAGCUCUUCAUAUCUCUGCAAUGCACACUACACAAUAUGAGACUUUAGAACAUGGACACUGUCAGAUAUGGAUUCCACAGCUGGUUGCUAUUUCUGCUCUGGAACAAAGGUCUGACUGAUGGAAGGGAUGUCAUCCAGACUGACACACUGUGGGGGGAAAAGGGUGACAAUGCAACAAUACACUGCAGCCACACUAAGGGCAGUACAUAUCGACAGAUGUACUGGUACAGACAGCUACCAGGGGAGAGAAUGAAGCAAAUUGUUUUUACAACUGCAUUCAGCAACCAUGAAUACGAAAGCGGCUUCAGUGAGGAGAAAUUUCCGGCAAAAAAGAGCGAUGCUCUGACUGGAUCUUUGACUGUGGAGAAGCUGCUGCCUGAGGACAGUGGAGUGUAUUUUUGUGCUGUGAGUCAACACAGUGAUGCAGGUGACUGAGACAGCUGUACAAAUACCCAACUGUUG
Perca flavescens (yellow perch) is the source of this 657-nucleotide non-coding RNA. The record is from the annotation of a RefSeq genome assembly. NCBI's taxonomy places the organism in Eukaryota, Metazoa, Chordata, Actinopteri, Perciformes, Percidae.